AAAACUCACUCAUCAUAGUUUAUUAAAGCUAUUAGAUGUUCCAAAAGUAUGUUUCAUCUAACAAAGUACAUUCUGUGACCAUUUUGAGUAUACUUUUGGGAAAUAAGGAAAAAUAUGUAUCAUGGAAAACAGGUGGAGCUUUGGUACUUGCCUGGGUUGAAGGCAAACCUGCUUUGACCCUGGGGCUCUGGGAGCCCAGCUCGAACUCGUGCCACUUAGAAGAGCUUUCCACGUGAGGACAGGGAGGGAGGCAGAAAAUCCAUCUGUGCAUGGACAUAAAGUGGGUGCUUUGCCCUCUGGUCCAUCAGAGCGGGGACAGGAGUUGUGUCUCUCAUCUUAAGUGAUGAACUCGGUGGUGCAAACAUUUCAGGACUCUGAGAGGUGGUUAAGUUCUCCAUCUUCAAAUGAAACUAAUUUAUUACGAGAAAGAGUGACAAUUCUCCAAGC
RNAcentral lists this long non-coding RNA (447 nucleotides) under Bos taurus (domestic cattle). RNAcentral describes it as "long non-coding RNA NONBTAT002926". Lineage: Eukaryota; Metazoa; Chordata; Mammalia; Artiodactyla; Bovidae. The record is from RNAcentral.